Long non-coding RNA from Musa acuminata subsp. malaccensis (wild Malaysian banana), 1125 nucleotides. RefSeq lists it as uncharacterized. NCBI's taxonomy places the organism in Eukaryota, Viridiplantae, Streptophyta, Magnoliopsida, Zingiberales, Musaceae. The record is from RefSeq and is a predicted model, not a curated record.
UUUUCGAGAGGAUCAUGUGGCUUCGCCUCCGUCUUCCUCUCCCCUUCCACCCUCCGGAAUCCAAUCGCAAUCCUUCGGAUUGGGGUUAGGGUUCCGAGAACCCGCGGUUCGUCGUCGUCUUCUCGCCACGCAUCCGGCCGGAAGGUCCUCCGCGAGGUAAGCCGCUUCCCGGUGGUAGAAGGGCGUACCUCGACGGGCAGAAAUCUGUGAGGUUCUCCCUUGACCCGACCAAGGAGCUCAUUCCCAUCGAUCUUGUUUCAUGGAACCCUUCACUUAUCUGUGAUGGAUGAUCAACUUCUAGACACUAUAUGUGAGGUUUUUGUAUCCUCUUUAAGCACAGAAGGCGCCUGUAUUGUUCGAGAGGGUGACCCCGACACAAAUGCUUUUCAUCAACAUAUGACAGACUGAAGAGCUCUACUGCUAGUAGAGGUGGAACUGGUUUCUUCAAUUCUGUGAUGCACAGGCCUAGUGAUUUCUGUGGUAAGGAACUUCUUGAUUGGGCUCUUCUUCCAAAGGCCAUGGUGAACUUGCCUUCCUCUAAGAAUUGUAAGAACACUGGCUAAAGUUGAGGCCUUUGGAAAAGCUGAAAGCUGCAGGACUUUCCAUUUCUACUCUCAUCACUGGAGGACAUGGGCUGCCUGCUUCAUUCAGGCAGCUUGGCAUCGCUACAGGAGGAGAAAGAUGGCAAAGGAUUUGAGUAGGAGGGAAUCAUUUAACUCCCGGACGGAUGCGUCGAUGCUGAAAGAAGAUGAAGUCAACAUAAUUCCAGAGUACUUCUCACCCAAAACAAAAUCUUGUGUUCACAGUUCUACCUAGGUUAGCCUCACUUCUCCGUGGACACUUGUGAUUAGUUAUCAUCGAACCUGUUAUGAGGACACCUGCUUGCUUCUCACCAGAUUACAGUUGAAAGAGAAAUUCAGAUGAGCAAGGGUUUGUACUUGAUAAAAUAUGAUGUUGAGGAUGUAAAUCUUCAUCCAAACAAAUCUAUACGCAUGGCUACUCUGAUAAUGUGGUAUCAUCUUAACUGAGUACAAGUUAAGAUAGUUUCUAAACAGAAUGGCAUGCCUGCUGUACAAUCUAGAUGUAUUUAUCAGUGUAAUCUUGUUUAGGAUGAAAUCGUCACCA